RNAcentral lists this long non-coding RNA (976 nucleotides) under Anser cygnoides (Swan goose). Its description in RNAcentral is "lncRNA (ENSACDG00005008800.1)". The record is from RNAcentral. Lineage: Eukaryota; Metazoa; Chordata; Aves; Anseriformes; Anatidae.
GGGGGGGCGUGCACGGAGCAUGCGCAGAGCAGGGGUUGCGUGCAAAGCGUGCACCGGGGGCGUGCACCGAGCAAGGUUUGCAAGCGCAGUGUGCGCUGGGAGCGUGCACGGAGCAGUUUUGCACCCAGAACACGCACCAAAAGCAUGCACGGAGCAAGGUUUGCACGCACAGAGCACCCUGAGCAUGCACCAAGCAUCUUUGCAUGCAGAACAUGCACUGGGAGCAUGCACCAAGCAAGGUUUGCAUGCAAAUCAUGCACCGGGAGCAUGCACCGAGCACAGUUUGCAAGCGCAGUGUGCGCUGGGAGCGUGCACGGGGCACCUUUGCUUGCAAAUCGUGCACCAAGGGCAUGCACGGAACAGUUUUGCACCCAGAACAUGCACCAAGAGCGUGCGCAGAGCAAGGUUUGCAUGCAGAACGUGCACCAGGGGCAUGCACAGGGCACAGUUUGCAAGCGCAGUGUGCACUGGGAGCAUGCACCAAGCAAGGUUUGCAUGCAAAUCAUGCACCAGGAGCAUGCACGGAGCAGUUUGGCACCCAGAAUAUGCACCGAGAGCAUGCACCGAGCACAGUUUCCAAGCGCAGUGUGCACUGGGAGCAUGCACGGAGCAAGGUUUGCGUGCACAAUGUGCACUGGGAGCAUGCACCAAGCAAGCUUUGCACGCAAGUCGUGCACCGGGAGCGUGCACCGAGCAGUUUUGCACCCAGAACGUGCACCAAGAGCGUGCACGGAGCAAGGUUUGCACGCAAAUCGUGCACCGGGAGUGUGCACCGAGCAGUUUUGCACCCAGAACGUGCACCAAGAGCCUGCACGGAGCAAGGUUUGCACGCACAGAGCACAGUUUGCAACUUUGCACGCACCACGCGUGCCAUGAGCGUGCACGGAGCGCGCUUGCACGCGCCGCACACACGCACGUGGCACUUUUGCACGCACGAGGAGCUUUGCACGUCCCCGUGCACGCGGCACCCGAGGGC